This 433-nucleotide ribosomal RNA is filed under the name uncultured bacterium. Its description in RNAcentral is "partial 16S ribosomal RNA". It matches the Rfam family "Bacterial small subunit ribosomal RNA", at positions 29 to 507 of the family's 1533-position model. The record is from RNAcentral.
AACGAACGCUGGCGGCAUGCCUAACACAUGCAAGUCGAACGAGACCUUCGGGUCUAGUGGCGCACGGGUGCGUAACGCGUGGGAACCUGCCCUUAGGUUCGGAAUAACUCCCCGAAAGGGGUGCUAAUACCGGAUAAUGUCUUCGGACCAAAGAUUUAUCGCCUUUGGAUGGGCCCGCGUUGGAUUAGCUAGUUGGUAGGGUAAAAGCCUACCAAGGCGACGAUCCAUAGCUGGUCUGAGAGGAUGAUCAGCCACACUGGGACGGAGACACGGCCCAGACUCCUACGGGAGGCAGCAGUGGGGAAUAUUGGACAAUGGGCGAAAGCCUGAUCCAGCAAGGCCGCGUGAGUGAUGAAGGCCUUAGGGUUGUAAAGCUCUUUUACCCGGGAUGAUAAUGACAGUACCGGGAGAAUAAGCUCCGGCUAACUCCGUG